This 253-nucleotide ribosomal RNA is filed under the name uncultured bacterium. Its description in RNAcentral is "partial 16S ribosomal RNA". It matches the Rfam family "Bacterial small subunit ribosomal RNA", at positions 524 to 776 of the family's 1533-position model. The record is from RNAcentral.
UACGGAGGGGGUUAGCGUUAGUCGGAUUUAUUGGGCGUAAAGGGCGCGUAGGCGGAUAUGUAAGUUGGGGGUGAAAUCCCAGGGCUCAACCCCGGAACAGCCUAUGAACCUGCCAAUCUGGAGGGCGGGCGAGGUGAAUGGAAUUCCUGGAGUAGAGGUGAAAUUCGUAGAUAUGAGGAAGAACACCGGUGGCGAAGGCGGCUCUCUGGAUCGGUACUGACGCUGAGGCGCGAAAGCAUGGGGAGCAAACAGG